UGAACCUGGAGUAUCAGCCCAGCUCAGGCACCUUGGCAGAAUGGAUCCAGAGAAGCACAGUCACCAGAGGGAGUAUAGAGAACCAAAGGCAUGCAGUCAGAGGAGAGAGUAUGAAGAACCAGAGAGGUACAGUCGGCGGAGGGAGUACGGAGGACUGAGCUCAGGACAAUGGGACGAUAGCCUUGAGAAGAGAGGCAAUGGCCAGGCUAUGCCCCGAGAGCCCUACAGCGAAUACUCCAGCAUGAGGCGAACUAGAGAAGGUGGGAAGGAGUAUGGUGCUUCCUCUGCUAUGAGCCACAUCAUAUACCCAUCAUCCAGAGACUGGAGCAAAGGCUCAUUGAGGGGUAGCAGUGGUCCCUUCUCCCCAGACACAGAUAGGGAUGUUGAUGGAGAUCCUGUGGAGCUCAGUGUGGAGGACCUGGAACUCGCUCGUAAGAAGAGGGAGUUGCAGGUCAUAGAGGAAAAGAUAGCUCGCAAGAAAGCUGUUCUUGCUCUGCAAAAAGUUAAACGCAGAGCUAAGGACAUGCCUGAAACACAGGCUGCAUCCGCAACAGCGAAGGGCAUGUCUAAACAGAGGAAGGUGAGCGAUACAACAUUCCAAAGAUACAGUAAUGUCGCGGACCAGUCGUCACGCAUAUGCCUACCUCUUAAACGGAGGGUGCUGGACAUUCUGAGUAAGCUCAGAAGAACACCGGUACGGUACCUACUGCGUAAGGAUACCCCUGCCAAGCUGAAGAAACAAAACAAGAUGCGAGCAUUGGAGCUGAUGAUUAGCGCUCCCCUAGAAAAUGAAGAGGCCCAUCCUCUGAGACUGAGAGUGAAGGGUUUAAUGAACCAACGACGCUCUCCCAACAAUGAGGUGGUCGCUAAUGAUAAACAACAUAAUCCAACCAUUCAGAGGCCAGUUCACUCACUCAGGACACAGGAGAAAGACAUAGCAGCCACAGGCUUCCAGCGCUUCCUCAAUGUCCUCAAUGAAGGUGUGGACCUCAACAAGCUCUCAAAGAUCGUCAACGACGAAAAUGAGCUACUCAUUGUGGGCGAGGAGCUACCACAAGUUUGGCCGACUCUGCUCGAGGGUCAUGUUGACUACAGCAGUAGGUCCAAGUCUUCUCCGUUUGAGGAGAAGAAGGUGAGGCUUGAGGAUGAGCAGCGGUACGAGCGGAUGCAGACCCUGCUGGAGAUCGUUGGGCUGGACUUGGGGGUUGAGGAGUUGGGUCGGCUGACAGACAGGACCAAUGAUAGGCUAUAUGGAAAGAUGGGAGACUUGAAAAGGGACAGAGCCAGAGAAGGGGAAAGUCCUGCGAGAGAGGGAUGCAGGCAAAGAUGCUCUAGUACCAGAGUCAGAGAAAGAGACAGAUCUGAGAGAAACCGAAAGGGAGACGGGCACAGACACUCCAGUACCAGAGAGAGCGACAAGGACAUACCGGUAGUCAGAGAAACAAACAGAUCAGAAAGGAACAGAGAUAAAGACGGGGACAGAGACCCAGAGAAGGACUGGGACGGAGGCCGAGAGAGAGACCGGGACAGAUCUAGGAGAGACGGGGGCAGAUACAGAUCUGAGAGAGAUGGGGACAGAGACCCAGAGAAAAGCAGAGACGGAGGCCGAGAGAAAGACCGGGACAAAAUGAGAGACCGGGACAGAUACAGAUCUGAGAGAGACAGAAAACGAGAGAUAGCCAAGGAUAUAGACAGGUGGCUGCAAAGGACCAGAGACGGAGACAAACGCUCUAGGACCAGAGACUGGGACAGAGAGAGAUCUGAGAGGGAUAGGUAUGGGGAUGAGUCCAGGGAACGCUCCAUUGAGCUCUACUCAUACUCCAUGGACCCUAUAUUCCCUGUUUCUCAUCCCCAUGCAUCUAUGAUGGCUACCUACUCCACCACCCAGUACUCUCAGUAUAUGGCAUACCACAGCAGCCCCUACACCAUGGCCUUCCCUCCAGGGUGCGGUUAUCCCGCUGGUACCAUGCCCCCUGGUAUUAUGCCCCCUGGUAUUAUGCCCCCUGGUAUUAUGCCCCCUGGUAUUAUGCCUCCUGGUACCAUGCUUCCUGGAAUCAUGCCAGCUGGUGCCAUGCUGCCUAGUAACAAGCCCCGCCAACCUAACCCCCCUGGGUAUCCACCCUACACCAACUUCCCCCCAUAUUACUCUAAUGGCACCACAGCCUUAAACCAGACAUACACAUACACCCAGCCUGCCAGCACUCGAGCAGUCUUAAGUCAGAGAUACACAUACAUCCAACCCACUAGAAACCGCAGGAAAAAGACACAGAAGCAUGCCAGAGGGAAAGUGUCCUGUCAGAUGAUGACAAAGAAGUCCCCCGCGGUUUUGACCACUCAGAUAGCGACAAAGAAGUACCCCCCUGAACCAGGGUCCAAGAUUAAAGCAAAGGGGAGAAACAAUAUAUUCUUCACAGGUAUAUUCAUGAAGAGUUAUCACAGUCAUCUAAGGAAGUUCCAGUAUUAUUUGAAACGGCUUGCGAAGAGGAGGAAUAAGGUUCACCAGCGCAAAAGAAAGCGAUUGCUUGCAGAAGCAGCAGGGAGAGUGGCCCCUCACUUCCCCUUUGAACCGGAGCCCAAGAAAGACGGGGAGAAACUACAUGCUGACACUUCUGAAGAAGUGGUUCCUCAGGAAGCUGCAAAGAAUGUGGAGGCACCAUCUGAAACAGGGCCUAAGAAAGAACCAGAAGGUGAGAAACUACAUGCUGACACUGCUGAAGAAGUGGUUCCUCAGGAAGCUGCAAAGAAUGUGGAGGCACCAUCUGAAACAGGGCCUAAGAAAGAACCAGAAGGUGAGAAACUACAUGCUGACACUGCUAAAGAAGUGGGCCCUCAGGAAGCUGCAAAGAAUGUGGAGGCACCAUCUGAAACAGGGCCUAAGAAAGAACCAGAAGGCGAGAAACAACAUGCUGAUGCUGCAGAGAAAGUGGCUCCUCAGGUGACUGCGAUGGACACUGUGGCCCCCUCUGAAAUGGGCCCCAAGAAAAAAAAGUUGUAUCCAGGUAUCUUCAUGAAGAUUCUAAUGAGACGUCUAAAGAGGCAACAGUGCAAGAUAAAAGGGAAGAAGAAGCAUUUUGCAAAGAGGAGGAAAAAGGCUUUCCAGUACAAGGGGAAGAGACCAUUGGUAGACACUAAGGAAAAAGUGCCUCUUCUAGAGGCUGCAAAGGACUCUGGGAACCCCUCUGAACCAUGGCCCAAGAAAAAGAAAAAAAAGAAAACACUAGAGGAAAAAGGAGGUAUAUACUACCCAGGGAUAUUCAUAAGGGUACACAGAACCUAUUUGACAAGGGGGAAACUGGCAAAAGCAGCUGCUGAAGGCACUGAGGCCAUUUCUGAACCAGCACCCAUGAUUGAAGGGGGGGGAGGAAUGACAGAAGGGGAGGAACUGCUUGCAGACACACUAGAGAAAGGGGUUCCUCAAGUGGCUACAAAUGACUCUGGGCUUCCCCCUGAACCAGGGCCCUACAAAGAACCAGAAAGAGAGGAAGAAACUAUGUUAGAAGAGGAGAAACUGCUUGCAGAUCAUGUGGCGAAAGUGUCUGUAAAGGGCCCUCAGGUCCUCUUGGAACCAAAGGCUGCGAAAGACAGAGAAGGAGAGGACGAUGCAAUUAUAGAUGGUGAGAAACUGCUAGCAGACCCUGUGGAGAAAGUGGCUAUAACAGGCCCUGGCUUGCUCUCUGAACCAGAGGCUGAGAAGGAGACAAGGGGAGAAACAACCAGUGGCAUGAGAAUUAAUGAAGGAAAAAUAAGCUUGAAGAGUUCAACCUGAAGAUGGGCACGCCUAACACAGCCUCAAAGGAUGGCUAGCUGUUAUCUUCACUUGGCAUCAUGAGCUCAUCGCACACUAGAAUAGAACCUGCUGCUGACCCAUCCAGACCCUAUGGACAUCAGUUGGCUUACAUUCUUACCUAUCAACCAUUUAAUAGAUUUGUAAUCACUAAAAAAAUAUUUGUUAAAGUUUAGCCUCAUCCUUAAAUGCUUUGUAUUGAAUUUAUUUUCAGUGUAACUUAUUGAUAUUGUGUGUGGGGUAUGGGUAGGGUCUAGCACAUUCAUAUAUGCUAAGUACCUUUAGCGCCGAUUGAUGAUAGUAUCUUCUGGCCGGGGGAGUUUAAUUAAGAGCCCCGACCCUUGCACUAAACAUUAACACGCAUCGCUUGCGGCCUGAUUUUGGAACAUAAGGAACUAUCUUUCAUAUCAGCGUUGGACAAAAAUGCACAUUUAUUGGGUUAGGGUUCCCACACGGCCAUAUUUCCAUGUUACAGUGCUUGUUUACGGAAAACGGACGGAAGACGGAGUCGACUACCUUUGCUAAUUACCGAUCUGCAUCUCCAAAACCCUGUGUGUAAACAGAAGAUGGACACCACAAACUCGUUGUCACUGAAAGAUACUGUCGGCUGCAACUGUUAAAACCGGUUUCAUAAACUGGGUGGUUUGAGGCAUGAAUUCGGAUUGGCUGAAAGCCAUGGUAUAUCAGACCAUAUACCAUGGGUAUGACUAAACAUUUAGUUUUACUGCUCUAAUUACAUUGGUAACCAGUUUAUAACAGCAAUAAGGCUCCUCUGGGGGUUUGAUGUAGGGCCAAUAUACCACGGCUAAGGGCUGUGUCCAGGCACUUCGUGUUGCGUCGUGCUUAAGAACAGUCCUUAGCCCUGGUAUAUUGGCCAUAUACCACAACUCCUCGGGCCUUAUUGCUUAAAUAACAGAGUAAGUGUACAUUUUGCAUAUGAAAGUAGAUGCCUUGAUGUUUCUAGAACCGUACUGCAAUUUAGAUGGGAGUAUUUGGCUGCCAGAGACAAUUUUCCUGUUCUAAACCAAAUAAGGGCCUGGAGUUUAUUUGGUCUGGUCAUGUGGUCAAGAAAAAUUCCUGGCCCUAGAUAUAGUACAUGUGUAUCAAUGGGAUGAAAAUACUAUUGACGGCAUUAUGUUUGUAAGUUAUCAUGCCUGAUAGCUAAAAGUAAGAACUGCCCAUGUUUCAUUCCCCAGUGCAGUCAGCCCUCCUAUUUCUAUAGAUCUUUCACUUUGUAAAUAUGUAAUUGAAUAAAAUAUUCGGUCUAUUGUAAGUGUGUAGUGUAUCAUAUUUCAAAUUAACUUCAACCCAUUGAGCUUCACAUUCCUUUUCAGGGACAACUUCCAUUGGUUUUGUAUUAGAUAAUUCCAUGCACUUUCGCAUUCUGCCCUAUUGGUGGCAGUAUUGGAUUUUUGAUCCUAUGAAGCUAUAAUUAACCUAGAAGCAGGGGCCUGGAAACGAGUUUGUUUGAUCAGUUGCCGUUCUAACAAAUGUAACUAUAUACAAUAGUAUUUUCUGACUGGUUGUGUGCAUGCAAGUUGUUUGAACCCUCAAGAUCCAGAAUGAGACGGCGAACACAUAAAGGCCUGCGCGAGGGUAGCAUUAGCGCAGAAGGGGCACACUGGAG
This 5411-nucleotide long non-coding RNA is filed under the name Oncorhynchus mykiss (rainbow trout). RNAcentral describes it as "lncRNA (ENSOMYG00000068500.1)". The record is from RNAcentral. Lineage: Eukaryota; Metazoa; Chordata; Actinopteri; Salmoniformes; Salmonidae.